Mastomys coucha (southern multimammate mouse) is the source of this 1246-nucleotide long non-coding RNA. RefSeq lists it as uncharacterized. The record is from RefSeq and is a predicted model, not a curated record. The transcript is spliced from 3 exons. NCBI's taxonomy places the organism in Eukaryota, Metazoa, Chordata, Mammalia, Rodentia, Muridae.
GUUCCCACGCCCCGGCCCGUUAUCCCCCGGCCUCAGCUGCGGAGAGGCCCGAGCGAGACGCGCCCUCGGAGCUGCAGCUCGCGCCCCCCGGCCACCCCACCGAGCCUCCCCCGGGACCCGCGCGGGGACGGCGGCUCAGGUUCGCGUUGGGGACGGCUUUGGCUUUGCUACAGUGAGUAAUCAAUAUUCAGCAAGAGUCUCAGGAAGAAAUAAGUAACUGGCCCCAAAUCAGCAAAGAUGCUUGGUUUUGGCAAGACUCUACAGUGGGAAAGCAGCUAACUACCAAUAAGCAUUAGGAGAGCAAAGAGCGACUUCUUAACAGAAUCUGCUUAGAUACUGUUUCUCUUUAACUGCAGCCUGCCUCUGGCAUCUGUUUGUCAAAGCAGCUUCAUUCUGAGCCCAUGUGAGAUGCAGCUGCUCUCAGCAUCUGUGGCUCGAAUUUUGGCAUCAUCAGAUCAAGGUUGAAGUAUGGAUGGCUUCUACUAUCUGGGAUGCUGGACGAAAAAACUCCAAGCCUUAAAAUGGUUAUUUAUAAGAUGGAACAUAAAGGCUUGCACCACACAUACUUAUUAGUCCCAUGCUAGCACAGGUUAAGAUAAGACCACAAUAAAUGUGUCUUAGUUGGUGCCCCAUUGCUGUGAAGAGACACCACAAACCACAGCAACUCUUAUACAUAAAAACAUUUAAUUGGGGUUGGCUUCUAGGUUCAGAGGUUUAGCCUAUUAUCAUGGAUGGAAGCCAGGAGGUGGACAAGGUGCUGGAGCAGGAACUGAGAAGGAAGAUCGAGCCAUUGGGCCUGGCUUGAGCUUCUGAAACCUCAAAGCCCACCCCACAGGGGGACACUUCCUCCAACAAGGCCACACCCAUGCCAACAAGGCCACAUCCAUGCCAACAAGGCCACAUCCAUGCCAACAAGGCCACACCUACUCCAGCAAGGCCACAAGUCCUAAUUCUUUCAAACAAUGCCAUUCCCUAAAGAGAGCCUGUGGGGACCAUUUUUUUUUUCAUUCAAACCACCACAAAAUGUCAAUACAACAUAUUAUUAUUAUUAAUCCUUAUCAUUUCCUUCCAGCCUGCAAUCAAUACAAAACACACUUUACCUUUAAACCUUAUCUGAUUGGAUUUCCUGUCUUAAGUGGCUCAGUUUUUUUUUUGUUUUUUUGUUUUUUUUCACAGCUCAAGGCCUUACAUUGGUAUUUAAAAAUCACCUUUCUGGCUGGAGAGUUGGCUCAGCAGUUAAGAGCAC